Cyprinus carpio carpio is the source of this 339-nucleotide long non-coding RNA. The record is from Ensembl. NCBI's taxonomy places the organism in Eukaryota, Metazoa, Chordata, Actinopteri, Cypriniformes, Cyprinidae.
CUGCACGAGGAAGGGACACUUCAGACGGCUUUUUCUUUAUCAAGAUUUGAAUCCAGAUCACUGGCGCAUUUCCCCCCUUUUUGCAUAAAUCAAUAGUCAAUCCUUAUUCAAAAAUAUUUUCUAUCUGGACGGACUUCCAUUUUUAUAGCAUGUAUCAAGGGCCUGGGCUUUCACGGAGGGACACUGAGACAUCGAUGUACUUGUGUCGCUGAUUGAUAACAACGUGUAACACAUUGAAUACAUACAUGUGAGAGGACCUGUGAAGAUCUGACACCCACCAGGCUGUGAUACAAGCAUAUACUCUACAUACACGGUAGGCUACACUCGGAUCAAGACCGU